Brassica napus (rape) is the source of this 1735-nucleotide long non-coding RNA. RefSeq lists it as uncharacterized. The transcript is spliced from 3 exons. Lineage: Eukaryota; Viridiplantae; Streptophyta; Magnoliopsida; Brassicales; Brassicaceae. The record is from RefSeq and is a predicted model, not a curated record.
AUUUUAAAUAAAUAAAAAAAUAAUUCAUUAAUAUUUGAUUUGUACAAUAUCAUCAAACAAAUUUCAACAAAUAUAAAUUUUCAAAAUAAAAAUUAUAUACAUAUAAUUGAUAUUAAAUAUAUAUCUUUAUAACAUAUUUUAUAUUUUGAAUGUUAAUUAAAAAUAUAAAUAUAUCCGCACGGAUGUGCGGAUUAAUAUCUAGUUUAAAAUUAAAGUAUAUAGCAAUCUAUUAUUAUAGUAUAUUUGUUUUAUAAAUAUUUAUAUCCGUGCAUGAGCACGAAAAAAUCACCUAGUAAAUAAAUUAAAAAGAUAAAAGAAAAAUGAAACCAAGUCUAGUUAGAAAAGUUAAACCAAAAGGAGCUUCAACCACCACCGCCUUCAGCCGCCACCUCCGGAGAUGCUCCACCAGCCAUUUUCCGCCUUCACACACACACACAUUAUAAAAUAAAAACAAGAAAGUAAUAAAAUUUUCAACAAGAUGGGACAAGUUAACACUUUUAAGGUGAUGACUUCAAGUCUAAGCACCCCACAAUACGCCUCAUGAGUAGUUGGCUCUGCAAGAGAUCAUUGGAACCAAACGUGAAUUUUGAUGUCUUUUUGAUGAGAGAAAAAAAAAAAAAGACAUUAAUUCACUUUCACAGCGAAACAGUACAUGGUCAUGGCCGAUCAAGAGAAAAAGUUGGUGCAAUUGCAAUAUCAAAAUAUAAAGCAAAGUUGCAAUUGCAAUAUCAAAAUAUAAAGCAAACUACUUUAUUGUUCUAAAAGUAGAAAUUUCACAUUUAGUUAAACCUACCAGAGGACCCAUUCAUGUUCAAAAGUUAAAAGCUUUGAAAACGGAGAAAGAUUAUAUGAAAGAGUAGUGACCUUACACCAAACAGUUUCAUAUCAAAUGCUCAAGCAUGGUUUUCAAGAAAAUGACUCAGGAGAUUUGAUUUGAUCUCUCUGUUCUUCAACUGCCGCAGAUACUCAACCAUAAGAGCUUACAGAAGCUUGCGUUAUGGUAAGCCUUAUGCUACAUACCUGGAAUCCUGUAAACAUCACACUCGGGUCACAUGUCUGGGUCAAGGAUCCAUAACUUGCAUGGACUAAUCGAGAAGUGACAGAAAUCAAAGGCACUAAUGCAACAAUACUCACUGCAGAUGGGAAAACAAUUGUUGCUAGUAUCUCUAGCCUCUAUCCAAAGAAUACAGAGGCGCCACCUGCAGGAGUUGAUGACAUGACUAAACUGGCUUACCUCCAUCAGCCAGAGGUCCUCCACAAUCUUGCUUGCUGGUUAUCACUAAAUGAGAUAUAUACUUAAAAUGGAAACAUCUUGAUUGCUGUGAAUCCAUUCCAAAGACCUCCACAUUUGUAUAGCGUCCAUAUGAUGGAGCAGUAUAAAGGAGCUGCGUUUGGAGAGCUAAGCCCACAUCUGUUUGCCGGUUGCAGACACCAGUUAUAGGUAACAAGUUGUUAAUCAACGAAUAGAAAAUUACUGUAUUAGCUAACGCUUUCCAUGUAUGCCAAGGCGAUGAUAAAUGAGGCAAAGAGCAAGUCUAUUUUGGUUAGUGGAGAGAGUGGAGCUGGGAAGACGGAGACAACCAAAAAGCUCAUGAGAUAUCUUGCAUUCAUGGGAGGCAGAUAAGAUACAUAAGAGAGAAAAGUGUUCGACAAGUUGUUCUAGAGGUGAGUAUUACUUGCUCUGUUUAUUUUUAAAUGACUAGGAGAUUUUGGGCCUGGGGCUAGGCAUAUUCCA